CCCUAAUUGCAACGAGGAUGCAUCUUAUCAAUACUUGCAUAAUGGAAAAAGACUUGUUACAUGGGACAUAGUCGAUUCUUACCAAUGGACCACCCAAUGCGAAAAAGUAAUCAUACUUUUGACAGUAAAGUCGAGCAUAGGCCAGAACCAGAAUUCUUAUCUAGAGAAGAUGUGGUUGCACAAUUGAAUCGUUUAGUGCAAACAAUUUUCGGAAAAGUAGAUGAACGGGUAAAAGAAAAGAAAACGUUCUCCUAAUUACUUGAACUGGUCGAAGAGGAGUAUUUUCUUUGAAUUGCCUUAUUGAGAAACCUUAUUGCUCCGCCACAAUCUUGAUGUCAUGCAUACAGUGAAGAAUAUAUUUCAGAGUAUCAUUGACACCAUAAUGAACAUUUUGGGAAAAGCGAAGGACAGUUAUAAAGCUCGACUUGAUAUGGUGGCUAUGAAGAUAAGGCAUGAGUGGCACCCGAAGAGUAUUGAUGGCAAAACACACAUCCCUCCUGCAUGUUAUAUAUUUUCUCCCAGUGAAAAAAGCAGUUUCUGCAAGUUUUUAAGUUCCGUAAAAUUUUCGGACAACUAUGCGUUAAACAUAUCUCGAUGUGUGACUGAUGAUGAUCGAAUCACUGGACUUAAGAGUCAUGAUUGCCAUGUUAUACUGCUACGACUUCUUCCUGUUGCCUUGCGUGGAUACUUAAGGAAGGACAUCUCCAAAACAUUAAUUUAGAGGAGUUAUUUUUUCAAGGAGUUAACAUCCAGGACCUUGCACGUGGAUGUGCUAAAGCGACUCAAGAGUGACAUUGUCUUAAUUUUGUGCAAGCUUGAAAAAAAUUUCCCUCCACCAUUUUUUGAUGUCAUGAUCCACCUCUCCAUUCACCUUGCAGAGGAAGCAAUGCUUAGUGGACCAGUACAAUUUAGGUGGAUGUAUCCAUUUGAGAGGUACAUGAAAGUUCUAAAGGGUUAUGCGCGAAACAAAGCUCAUUCUGAAGGCUUGAUUGCUGAAGGUUACAUAGAUAAUGAAUGUAUGACAUUUUGUUCAAUGUAAUUUGAAGGGAUUGAAAUGAGAUUUAAUAGGGCAGAGCGAAACUAUGAAGGAGAUACAUCAACUAACCAAGGUAGUGUAUUGCCAAUAUUUUUCCAAAAUGCUUGUGGAUUGGGAGCAACGAAAUAUGAUGAGCUUAAUUAUGAAGAACUAGCAAAGGCCCAAACAUAUGUGUUGAACAAUUGUGAGGAAAUAUACCCAUAUAUAGAGUAAGUCAAAUUCCAAUAUACUAUUGUGAUACAAAACGUUACUUUUAUCUUUGUGUUCCUAUCUCAGUCUUCACAUUAAAAAUUGAGAAUGGAGAUAGUAUCUUAGUACAAAUUUUAUGUUCUAGGCAACACAAGGAAGAGCUCAAGCCACAAAGCAACCGAAACAUAGAAAAGAGGCAUCAAUUUGAAUUUCAGAAGUGGUUUUUAGAACUUGUAAGGGUUGUGAGUUCUCUCUUUUAAUAAGAUUAUAAGUACCAUUUUAUUUAUUUUGUUGAUUCGACUUAGUUGUGAAAAAUUGAAAAUUGGUGACACGAAAAUGGAAAGAAGGUUUCAGAAGGCGUGACAAUUCAAUUGCUAAAUUUAGCACGGGGUCUUGAUCGACGAGUGACACGUUACAAUGGUUGCUUGGUCAAGGGAUUUCGGUUUCAUACACAAGAACGCGAGAUGCAUUGAAAAUGUCAGAAUAGUGGUGUGGUUGUUAUGGGCAACCAUAAAGGGGAGAUUAUUGAUUUUUAUGGUGUUGUUAAAGAUGUAAUUGAGCUAUCAUAUUUGGGUGGAAAUCAUAUCAUGCUUUCCAAGUGUGAUUGGUGGGAUGUUGGCAGUGCUAGGGGAUACUAGUUGAUGACUACAAUUUCACUAGUGUAAACAUAUCAAAAACUUGAUAUGUAGAUGGGCCUUUUGUGCUAGCGUGUCAAGUAGAGCAAGUUUGCUAUUUGAAAGACAUAGUUAAUAGUGAGAAUUGGAGGGUUGUUCAAAAGAUAGCUCCUUGAGCAUUCUAUGACAUGCCCGAAGAGGAAGAGGAUGAACAUGAGGAAGAUGAGCCAUACCAAGAAAACGAACCAUAUGGGUUUAGCAAUAGCAUUGAGGUUGAUGACCAGCCGAUAAUGAUGAAUAGAGAUGAUAUGGAUUCUGUCCAUGUUGAUGUACUCAAUGAUGAAAUAGGUGUCGAGGAAGAAGAAUAUGAUAGCGAUGCAUUUAUUAAUGAUGACGAUGACAUGAUUGAUGUCCAGACUUCUGAUGAUGAACUUUCAGAUGAAUCAUUUUACGGUGAUAGUGAGGAUGAGUAGUAGCAGUACCAUGUCCUUUUUGUCAUGCACAUAUCUCAAAUGUAAUGGUUAAACAAUAUCGAAAGUUACGGUUUUUCCUCUCUAUAUAUGAAAGUUGUUACGAUUUCUCACUCAUAUUCAUUUAACCCCUUAUUUUAUGCUAUGCUUCAUGUCAGGUUAUUUCAAGUCAACUUCAAGUAUGCUCCAAAAUAAAAUGGCCGCAACAUGUCUUCCAAUUAUGCUAAUUGCGCAACAAUCGAUGAUGAUCAUUUUGGGCAUGGAGAUAUAAUAUUGGAGUAGGAGAUAGGAGUUGAAAAAUGUUUUGGAGGACAAAGCUGCUAGUUGCCUUGAUGUUUGAAUUUGCACUAUAUUAAGACAGUUAGUGCAUGUUUUGUCCAGUUAGUAGGUGCUGGUUUUGGGGUACAUUGAACUGGAUUUGUCGUACCAAAUGGAAUGAGAUAAGUAGCUAGUGGUUAAUAUCAUGUAUUGAUCUCCUUUUUGUUAUG
Rhododendron vialii is the source of this 2797-nucleotide long non-coding RNA. RefSeq lists it as uncharacterized. NCBI's taxonomy places the organism in Eukaryota, Viridiplantae, Streptophyta, Magnoliopsida, Ericales, Ericaceae. The transcript has 3 exons. The record is from RefSeq and is a predicted model, not a curated record.